GCAACAAUGCUGGCGACCCCAUGGGUUGGAGCUAUAAGAAAUACCCAGGGUUAACAGAUCCCUUGAUUUUAGAGGCUUUAGCUUGCAGAGAGGCUAUCUUUUUAGGUUCUGCAAAAGGGUUGGAUUCAGUCAUUAUCGAAGGAGAUUCUAAAUAGCUUAUUUCAGCAGCAAAUGGGGAGUUGAAUUUUAGCAAGAUAGAAGGCAUCAUGAUGGACAUUUCAAUUUCUUGUAAUGCUUUCAGAAACUUAGUUUUCCAUCAUGUAAGAAGAGGUUGUAAUUCAGCGGCCCAUUUACUUGAGGCCUUGCAUGAUGUUUCCUUUUCAUGUAACCCAUUG
This 335-nucleotide unclassified non-coding RNA is filed under the name Hevea brasiliensis (rubber tree). The record is from RNAcentral. Lineage: Eukaryota; Viridiplantae; Streptophyta; Magnoliopsida; Malpighiales; Euphorbiaceae.